CCAGGUAAAUCCGGUUCACUUUAACACUGAGGCGUGAUGACGAGGCACUACGGUGCUGAAGCAACAAAUGCCCUGCUUCCAGGAAAAGCCUCUAAGCAUCAGGUAACAUCAAAUCGUACCCCAAACCGACACAGGUGGUCAGGUAGAGAAUACCAAGGCGCUUGAGAGAACUCGGGUGAAGGAACUAGGCAAAAUGGUGCCGUAACUUCGGGAGAAGGCACGCUGACACGUAGGUGAAGUGAUUUACUCAUGGAGCUGAAGUCAGUCGAAGAUACCAGCUGGCUGCAACUGUUUAUUAAAAACACAGCACUGUGCAAACACGAAAGUGGACGUAUACGGUGUGACGCCUGCCCGGUGCCGGAAGGUUAAUUGAUGGGGUCAGCGCAAGCGAAGCUCCUGAUCGAAGCCCCGGUAAACGGCGGCCGUAACUAUAACGGUCCUAAGGUAGCGAAAUUCCUUGUCGGGUAAGUUCCGACCUGCACGAAUGGCGUAAUGAUGGCCAGGCUGUCUCCACCCGAGACUCAGUGAAAUUGAACUCGCUGUGAAGAUGCAGUGUACCCGCGGCAAGACGGAAAGACCCCGUGAACCUUUACUAUAGCUUGACACUGAACAUUGAGCCUUGAUGUGUAGGAUAGGUGGGAGGCUUUGAAGUGUGGACGCCAGUCUGCAUGGAGCCGACCUUGAAAUACCACCCUUUAAUGUUUGAUGUUCUAACGUGGACCCGUAAUCCGGGUUGCGGACAGUGUCUGGUGGGUAGUUUGACUGGGGCGGUCUCCUCCUAAAGAGUAACGGAGGAGCACGAAGGUUGGCUAAUCCUGGUCGGACAUCAGGAGGUUAGUGCAAUGGCAUAAGCCAGCUUGACUGCGAGCGUGACGGCGCGAGCAGGUGCGAAAGCAGGUCAUAGUGAUCCGGUGGUUCUGAAUGGAAGGGCCAUCGCUCAACGGAUAAAAGGUACUCCGGGGAUAACAGGCUGAUACCGCCCAAGAGUUCAUAUCGACGGCGGUGUUUGGCACCUCGAUGUCGGCUCAUCACAUCCUGGGGCUGAAGUAGGUCCCAAGGGUAUGGCUGUUCGCCAUUUAAAGUGGUACGCGAGCUGGGUUUAGAACGUCGUGAGACAGUUCGGUCCCUAUCUGCCGUGGGCGCUGGAGAACUGAGGGGGGCUGCUCCUAGUACGAGAGGACCGGAGUGGACGCAUCACUGGUGUUCGGGUUGUCAUGCCAAUGGCACUGCCCGGUAGCUAAAUGCGGAAGAGAUAAGUGCUGAAAGCAUCUAAGCACGAAACUUGCCCCGA
This 1291-nucleotide ribosomal RNA is filed under the name Salmonella enterica subsp. enterica serovar Newport. RNAcentral describes it as "partial 23S ribosomal RNA". It matches the Rfam family "Bacterial large subunit ribosomal RNA", at positions 1532 to 2802 of the family's 2925-position model. The record is from RNAcentral. Lineage: Bacteria; Pseudomonadati; Pseudomonadota; Gammaproteobacteria; Enterobacterales; Enterobacteriaceae.